CGCGUAGGUGGCUUGGUAAGCGUGUGGUGAAAGUCCGGGGCUCAACCCCGGAUCUGCCAUGCGAACUGCCGAGCUCGAGCAUUGUAGAGGCAGGUGGAAUUUCGGGUGUAGCGGUGGAAUGCGUAGAUAUCCGAAAGAACACCGGUGGCGAAGGCGGCCUGCUGGGCAAUUGCUGACACUGAGGCGCGACAGCGUGGGGAGCAAACA
This 207-nucleotide ribosomal RNA is filed under the name uncultured bacterium. Its description in RNAcentral is "partial 16S ribosomal RNA". It matches the Rfam family "Bacterial small subunit ribosomal RNA", at positions 568 to 774 of the family's 1533-position model. The record is from RNAcentral.